ACCGGGGGAACUGAAACAUCUAAGUACCCCGAGGAAAAGAAAUCAACCGAGAUUCCCCCAGUAGCGGCGAGCGAACGGGGAGGAGCCCAGAGCCUGAAUCAGCAUGUGUGUUAGUGGAAGCGUCUGGAAAGGCGCGCGAUACAGGGUGACAGCCCCGUACACAAAAGCGCAUGUGCUGUGAGCUCGAUGAGUAGGGCGGGACACGUGGUAUCCUGUCUGAAUAUGGGGGGACCAUCCUCCAAGGCUAAAUACUCCUGACUGACCGAUAGUGAACCAGUACCGUGAGGGAAAGGCGAAAAGAACCCCGGCGAGGGGAGUGAAAAAGAACCUGAAACCGU
RNAcentral lists this ribosomal RNA (338 nucleotides) under Salmonella enterica subsp. enterica serovar Typhimurium. RNAcentral's name for it is "partial 23S ribosomal RNA". It matches the Rfam family "Bacterial large subunit ribosomal RNA", at positions 183 to 559 of the family's 2925-position model. The record is from RNAcentral. Lineage: Bacteria; Pseudomonadati; Pseudomonadota; Gammaproteobacteria; Enterobacterales; Enterobacteriaceae.